RNAcentral lists this ribosomal RNA (726 nucleotides) under uncultured bacterium. RNAcentral's name for it is "bacterial SSU rRNA". It matches the Rfam family "Bacterial small subunit ribosomal RNA", at positions 150 to 881 of the family's 1533-position model. The record is from RNAcentral.
UUGGAAACGAAGAUUAAUACCUCAUAGUAUUACAACAUCGCAUGGUGAUGUAAUUAAAGGUUACGGUACAAGAUGAGUAUGCGUCCUAUUAGCUAGAUGGUGUGGUAACGGCAUACCAUGGCGACGAUAGGUAGGGGUCCUGAGAGGGAGAUCCCCCACACUGGUACUGAGACACGGACCAGACUCCUACGGGAGGCAGCAGUGAGGAAUAUUGGACAAUGGAGGCAACUCUGAUCCAGCCAUGCCGCGUGCAGGAAGACUGCCCUAUGGGUUGUAAACUGCUUUUAUACAGGAAGAAACAGUUCUACGUGUAGAACCUUGACGGUACUGUAAGAAUAAGGAUCGGCUAACUCCGUGCCAGCAGCCGCGGUAAUACGGAGGAUCCAAGCGUUAUCCGGAAUCAUUGGGUUUAAAGGGUCCGUAGUGGAUAAUUAAGUCAGAGGUGAAAUCCUGCAGCUUAACUGUAGAAUUGCCUUUGAUACUGGUUAUCUUGAGUCAUUAUGAAGUAGUUAGAAUAUGUAGUGUAGCGGUGAAAUGCAUAGAUAUUACAUAGAAUACCAAUUGCGAAGCAGAUUACUAAUAAUGUACUGACACUGAUGGACGAAAGCGUGGGGAGCGAACAGGAUUAGAUACCCUGGUAGUCCACGCCGUAAACGAUGGUCACUAGCUGUUCGGACUUCGGUUUGAGUGGCUAAGCGAAAGUGAUAAGUGACCCACCUGGGGAGU